AGCACUUGGAGCAACAAUGCUUUGAGCCUGUAGGAACUUCUGGAUCGGGAAGUUCAUUGCGUAGGCAAAGAUUUGAGGGAUGAGACCGUAGACGAAGAGAGACGCGGCGGAAGCUAUCUCCGGCGAUUCCCCGAGGAAAAGUAGAAAAGGUUUGGAGAAGACGUAGAUAAAGGUGAGGAAGACGCCGGUGAGAGUGAGUAAUACGGCGGAUCUCUGGAGAUAAAUGCCGAGCAUAUCGUACUUCCUACCUCCAAACGCUUGUCCACAAAGCGUUUCCACCGCACUCCCCAUUCCUAGCUACAUAUUUUUAGGCUCCAAAGUUAUUACAAAACAGUUUAAAGUAUGUUGUAUAAUAUUCUUGUAACAAUUCUCGUAAUUUGUAAUAUAUAAUCAGUGUUAAAAAAAAUUCCAAUCCAUAACCACAUUAAAAGAUCAACAGAUGAUUUAGUUACCAUGAGACCGUAGGCGAAGACUUGUAUCCCGGUGUUCCCGAGAGAAGCGGCGGCGAGUUCUAGGUUUCCUAGGUGGCCGGAGAAGAUUUGAGUAGACAUGGACAUGAGAUAGUUUAUCAUGUAGACGAUGACAGCAGGCGCAGCAAGCUUGAAGAGAAGUUUGGAUUCAAUCAUCGUGGCUUUACGCAGACGGGCAAACAGGGGAGUUUCAACGUCGGAUAGGACUCUCUCUAACUCGCUGUUGUUCGACUCCGUCGCCGGAGAAAGCUGAGGCUGGAGAAGUGGUUGGUAUGCGCCAUCGUUUUGAGACGAGUCCAUGAGACUUUGCUCUGCUUAAGUCUAGUGAAGGUCUUUUUGUAGAGGGUGGCAAACUAGCAAUUGACUUACGGCUUAUAUGCACAGUGCACACUCGUGAUUCUCGCCUUGAGUUUUUUUUUUUUUUUUUUUUUUUUGAGAUAGAUAGAACUCUAGUGCUUGUGGUAAGCCCACGUCAAUUAUUUUCAUUUCAUAUCAUUUUCUUAUUUCGGUUUUUGUUUUGUUUUCAAAGGACAUUCAAUUAAGAUCAUCAUUAACAGUUAGAAAUCUACUAGGUUCUUAACUAGAUAGUUUCAUAUUUAAAAAGCAUUGAGAAAGUGAAAAUUAGGGCUGGGCAAAAAACCCGGAUCCGAAGAAUCGAACCGAACCCAAUCCGAAAAAGUAGUACCAAACCCGAACCGAAAUUGAUUAAAUAUCUGAACGGGUUCAAAUUUUGGUAUCUAGAGAACCGAAACCAAAUCCGACCCGAACCGAAGUAUUUCGGGUAUCCGAAUGUAACCGAAAUAGAUUUAUAUACCUAAAUAUAUUACUUAUUUUUAGAUUUAAUAUAUAUUAAAAACAUCCAAAAUAUAUAAGAUACUUUAAAGUUGUCUAAAAUACUUGAAAUAUACAUAAAUAGUCAAAAGUAAUGUCUAAAAUAGAUAAAAUAUAUUCAAAACACCAAAAUACUUGAAAUAUUUUAACAUAUAUUAUACAAAUUUAUAUGUAAUACAUUAUUUUGAUUUAUAGAUUUUGAAAAAUUUUAAGCAUAUAAUGAAUAUUAAAAAUAAUUUAAAUGAGUUAUCCGAACCCGAACCGAACCCGCAAAGAUCCGAACCGAACCCGAACAAUUAAUUUAGCAAACGAAAUCAACGAAUCAAAUAUUUAUUUUGAAAGCAAAUAUUUUUGAUGAAAGACUUACCAAAUGGAGAGAGAAUCAAGAGCAAGUUCUGGGUUCUCGAGAAGUCCGGCAAGAAGAACCAAGAUCUGAAAAUACCAAGUCUCAAGGCAAAGCAUCACGGCAGAGGCGGCUGAGAGUUUGAAGAAACUCGGUAGCCCCGAGAACGCUUGCACACUGAACCCUCUCCACGUCUCACGACACCGAUCACUCGUCACGAUAUAAACAAACUGAGCCACCACUAUAACCCACCACGAGAGGCUGAGCACGAGCGACGCUCCAAGAAGCCCCAUCCCAAGCUUGUAAACAGCGAGCCAGCUAAGGAGAAGAUGAACGAAGAGAGUGGCUGUUGCAAUGUAAGCACUUGGAGCAACAAUGCUUUGAGCCUGUAGGAACUUCUGGAUCGGGAAGUUCAUUGCGUAGGCAAAGAUUUGAGGGAUGAGACCGUAGACGAAGAGAGACGCGGCGGAAGCUAUCUCCGGCGAUUCCCCGAGGAAAAGUAGAAAAGGUUUGGAGAAGACGUAGAUAAAGGUGAGGAAGACGCCGGUGAGAGUGAGUAAUACGGCGGAUCUCUGGAGAUAAAUGCCGAGCAUAUCGUACUUCCUACCUCCAAACGCUUGUCCACAAAGCGUUUCCACCGCACUCCCCAUUCCUAG
Molecule: long non-coding RNA, 2300 nt
Filed under: Brassica napus (rape)
Lineage: Eukaryota; Viridiplantae; Streptophyta; Magnoliopsida; Brassicales; Brassicaceae
Description: long non-coding RNA (BNAP_LNC025554)
Source: RNAcentral